Leptonychotes weddellii (Weddell seal) is the source of this 2833-nucleotide non-coding RNA. NCBI's taxonomy places the organism in Eukaryota, Metazoa, Chordata, Mammalia, Carnivora, Phocidae. The record is from RefSeq and is a predicted model, not a curated record.
ACGAGGAGGCCGUCGGAAAGUAAGGGCCGGCCUGUGUGCGAGCUGGUUUCCGGAAGUGGUGCUGUGGCAGCAUGCUCGAGGAGCUGGGUUUAAUCGGGACCAUAGGCGAAGAUGACGAGGUGCCAGGGGAUCCUGAGUCUGACUCCGGAGAGGAGGAAGAGGAGGGGCCCAUCGUGCUGGGCAGAAAGCAGAAAGCCUUGCAGAAGAACCGGAGCACUGAUUUCAACCCUGACUUCGUUUUCACUGAGAAGGAGGGGGCAUACGAUGGCAGCUGGGCCAUGGCCGAUGUCAUGAGCCAGCUCAAGAAGAAGAGGGCAGCCACUACAUUAGAUGAGAAGAUUGAGAAAGUUCGCAAGAAAAGGAAAGCAGAGGAUAAAGAAGCUAAGUCUGGGAAGUCAGAGAAGGAGAAAGAAGCAAAGGAGGGCUCUGAACCAGAGGAGCAGGAAGACCCUGAAGGGAAAGAUGAGGAAGGCCCGGAAGAUGAAGACUCAGAGACCGAUUACUCGUCAGCUGAUGAGAACAUCCUCACCAAAGCAGAUACACUCAAAGUAAAGGAGCAGAAGAAGAAGAAAAGACAAGAAACAGGAGGAUUUUUUGAAGAUGCAUCUCAGUAUGAUGAAAACCUCUCAUUCCAGGACAUGAACCUUUCCCGCCCUCUUCUGAAGGCCAUUACAGCCAUGGGCUUCAAGCAGCCCACCCCAAUCCAGAAGGCAUGCAUACCUGUGGGUCUGUUGGGGAAGGAUAUCUGUGCCUGUGCAGCCACUGGGACAGGUAAAACUGCUGCUUUCGCCCUGCCUGUCUUGGAGCGUCUGAUCUACAAACCCCGCCAGGCUCCUGUCACGCGCGUGCUCGUGCUGGUUCCCACCCGAGAACUGGGCAUCCAGGUGCACUCCGUCACCAAGCAGCUGGCUCAGUUCUGCAACAUCACCACCUGCCUGGCCGUGGGAGGCUUGGAUGUGAAGUCUCAGGAAGCAGCUCUGAGGGCAGCGCCCGACAUCCUCAUCGCCACCCCAGGCCGGCUCAUCGAUCAUCUCCACAACUGCCCUUCCUUCCACCUGAGCAGUAUUGAGGUGCUCAUCCUGGAUGAGGCUGACAGGAUGCUGGAUGAGUAUUUCGAGGAACAGAUGAAGGAAAUCAUCCGGAUGUGUUCCCACCAUCGCCAGACCAUGCUCUUCUCAGCCACCAUGACAGAUGAGGUAAAAGAUCUGGCUUCUGUUUCCUUGAAGAAUCCUGUCCGAAUAUUUGUAAACAGCAACACGGAUGUGGCCCCCUUCCUGCGGCAGGAGUUCAUCCGGAUCCGGCCGAAUCGGGAAGGGGACCGGGAAGCCAUCGUGGCAGCUCUGCUGACAAGAACCUUCACUGACCAUGUGAUGCUGUUCACCCAGACCAAGAAGCAGGCCCACCGCAUGCACAUCCUUCUGGGGCUCCUGGGGCUGCAGGUGGGCGAGCUCCACGGCAACCUAUCACAGACGCAGCGGCUGGAGGCGCUCCGGCGCUUUAAGGAUGAACAGAUCGACAUCCUUGUGGCCACAGAUGUGGCAGCCCGUGGACUUGACAUCGAGGGGGUUAAAACGGUAAUUAACUUCACAAUGCCCAACACCAUCAAGCAUUACGUCCACCGGGUGGGGCGAACAGCGCGGGCUGGCAGGGCUGGGCGCUCGGUGUCUCUGGUGGGAGAAGAGGAGCGGAAGAUGCUGAAGGAGAUCGUAAAAGCCGCCAAGGCCCCCGUGAAGGCCCGGAUACUUCCCCAAGAUGUCAUCCUCAAAUUCCGGGACAAGAUUGAGAAGAUGGAGAAGGACGUGUAUGCAGUUCUGCAGCUAGAGGCCGAGGAGAAGGAGCUGCAGCAUUCAGAAGCUCAGAUCAACACAGCAAAGCGGCUCCUGGAGAAGGGGAAGGAGGCACCGAACCACGAGCCUGAGAGAAGCUGGUUCCAGACCAAGGAAGAGAGGAAGAAGGAAAAAAAUAACGAAUGUCUCAAGUGGAUUAAUGGAGAAAUAGUGGAACAAGCAUGUUAGUGAGAUGGAGAGGUAACCACCAGCAGAGGAUUUGCCAAGGCUCUGCAGGAGUUUGACUUGGCCUUAAGGGGAAAGAAGAAGAGGAAAAAGUUUAUGAAGGAUGCCAAGAAAAAGGGAGAGAUGACAGCAGAGGAAAGGUCCCAGUUUGAAAUCCUGAAGGCACAGAUGUUUGCUGAGCGCCUGGCCAAGAGGAACCGCAGAGCCAAGAGGGCCCGAGCAAUGCCUGAGGAGGAGCCAGCAAGAGGCCCUGCCAAGAAACAAAAGCAGGUGAAGAAAUCUGUAUUUGAUGAAGAGCUUACCAACACAAGCAAGAAGGCCCUGAAACAGUAUCGAGCUGGCCCCUCCUUUGAAGAAAGGAAACAGUUGGGCCUGCCCCACCAGAGACGAGGAGGAAACUUUAAGUCUAAAUCCAGGUACAAGAGGAGGAAGUAGCCAAGUUGGCCUGAAGUUCAUGGGGCAGCCCUUAGAUCCCUUCCUUGCGGGAAGUCAUCCUGGCUUGGUCUCUUCUCUCCAUUUGUAAAAAAAAUUUUUUUAAAUGUCAAGUCUGUAUCAUUUGUACAUUAAAAAAAGAAUGUAAGGUCGGGGGGUGUUGGUAUGCGGAGUUACUUCCUAAGCAUCCCUGUGAGUCAGCCAAGGCUCUUCUUGUUGAUUAACUUUCAAAUAAAGAAGAUACCAAAUGGGGGGUGCCUGGCUGGCUCAGAGAAGUGUACGACUCUUGAUCUUGGGGUUGUGAGUUUGAGCCCCGUGUAGGGUGUAGAAAAAACCAACAACAAAUAGAAGUAUAUUUUGGGAGGGAGAAUAAACCAAUCUGAAUUGUA